GUGGGCACAUGCUAGUGUAUUGUGUGGGCACAUGCCUCUACCAUCAUUGGCACGUGCUGGCAUAUGGUUCAGGCACAUGUUUCAACCAUCAUUGGCAUAAGCUAGUCUUUGGUAUAGGCACUUACCUCAACUACUAUCAGCAUAAGCUAGCCUUUGGUAUGGGCAUAAACCUCGAUAACCAUUAACAUAUGCUAGCCCUUGGUGUAGGCAUCUACCUCAUUCAACAUCAAUAAAAGAUGGCCCUUGGUGCAAGCAGUCACCUUAAACACCAUUGGGACAUGCUAGCCCUUUCUAUGAGCACUUGUCUCAAAUACCAUUAGCACAUGCUUGGCCUUAGUGUGGGCACAUGCCUCGACCACUAUUGACACCUAUGAACUCUUAGUGUAGGAUAUGACUAUUUGAAAAUAGUGUCCCUAUUUUAGACACAUUAAUGUUUACUACUACUAUAUAUGUAAAAUCUUUCAUGCUCUUCAGGGGAUGGUUGUUCAAGUCUCAUUCUCCCUCCCAUAAGGGUAGUAGGUGUACGUGAUAGGCCUAUCAUUAUGUAUAUCCAUGGCAACAUCCCUAUAGAAAAAUCUAUGUUGUGUAUGCCUUUUGGUUAUGCUGUUUGGUGAGUUAUUGCUUCAGUGACCUAUGGGCACCCAUGGCCUUGAUAGGCUAGCAUGCACACAAAAAUGUGUCUUGGCUAUGCUGAGCUCAAGCCUGUGCCUAUGGCUGAUGCUACCCCAAAACCUGAAGGAAGUCCCUAAAUAGGGUAGUAGCUCCCUAGGGUGGUGCAAACAGAAGCUAUGGUCAUAGGCUAGGUCUUGCCAAGUGUCUCAGGUAUUUGGUUACCUCAUAGUCCUUUCCAACCACUGAAGGGGAGUGAGCUUGGGCAAACUGACCAUUAGUGCAAAUCUUGGUGGUAGUAGUAAUUAUUCAAAUGAAAACUUUAAAUGUUGAAGGAGGGAAAGGUUCCAUGUAAACAGCACUUGCACAUGGGUUAGUCGAUCCUAAGAGAUAAGGGAAGCCUAUUCGAUAGUGUGUCUAGCAUAAGCUUCAAAAAGUAAUCGGGUGAAAAUUCCUAAACCAAGAUACGAUGACUGACAGCAAGAUUAGGGAGUCCGAGACAUUGGGGGGCUUUAGAAAGAGUUAUCUUUUCUAUUUAACAACCUCCCUAACCUAAAAAUGGCUCAAUUGGAGGUAGGGUCUAGUGGCUAGAAGAACACUAUAUGUCACAUGGUGUCCACUAUGCCCCCGAUGGCCUUUGAAAAUCUGGAGGAUCAAGUGUUGUCCAUGCUCGUCAUAUUCAUAACCACAUAUGGUCUCCAAGGUGAAUAGCCUCUAGUUGAUGGAACAAUAUAGGUAAGGAAUGUUAGCAAAAUGGAUCCAUAACUUUGAGAAAAGGAUUGGCUUUGAGGGUUAGGCAUAGGGGUCCUAGUCUCAAACUUGUCGAUUGUCUAUACACUACUCAAGCCACUCCCAUAAUGAGAGUGAGUCACCGCAUGCUAGCCUAAGGAUAAACUAGGAAUGGCACCAUUGGGGGCUUUCCCUAGGUAAUGAAUUGUUAACUUAACAUUGGUAUGGACAAGGGGAAUCUAACUAUUUAAUUAAAACAAAUCAUAGUGAUGGUCCUUGUAGAUACUCAUGCAAUGUGAUUUUUGCCCAUUGCACUAAAUGUUAAAGUGAAAAAAUUCAACGAAGCAUAGGUAAACAGUAGGAGUAACUAUGACUCUCUGAAGGUAGCCAAAUGCCUUAUCAUCUUACUAUCAUGCAUGAUUGGAUUAACAAGAUUCCCACUAUCUCUAUCUACUAUCUAGCGAAGCCAUAGCCAAGGGAAUGGGCUCAACAAAAUCAACAAGGAAAGAAGACCCAGAUUAGCUUAACUCUAGUUUGACUUUGUGAAAUGACUUUAGGGAUGUAGGAUGAUAGGAACCAUCAAGCAAAAUUGAAAUACCAUUACUUUUAAUGUUAUUUUACUUAUUCUAUGAAUUAGAGGUAGGGCAAGAUCCCUUCUUUUGGCCCAAAGCUAGCCUCAAUCAAUCAAUCUGGGUGGAAAACAUUGUCUAGUGGAGAGUUUAGCUGUGGUAGCACAUCAGUUAAAAGAUAACACAGGUGUCCAAAAAUGAUCUCAAUGAGAACAAAAAUCUCAUGUCAAACAAAAGGGUAAAAGCUCAUUUGAUUUUGAGUUCUAGUAUGAAUACAAAACCAUGAAAGCAUGGCUUAUCAAUCCUUUAGACCUUUAAAAUUUAAAGCUAGAGAUGUCAGAAAAGUUACCAUAAGAUAACUGGCUUGUGGUAACCAAGCAUUCAUAGCGACGUUGCUUUUUGAUCCUUCGAUGUUGGCAACCAAGCAGAAUUCACCAAGUGUUAGAUUGUUCACCUACCAAUAGGGAUUGUGAGUUAGUUUUACACCAUCAUGAGAUAGGUUAGUCUUACACUACUGAUGGUAGUAUCACAAUAGUAAUUUAACCUAGUACGAGAAAAAUCAUUGAUUUGCAUAAUUGGUCAUCAUGCUUGGUUGAAAAGCUAGCGGCAUGAAGCUACCAUGUGCUAGAUUAUGACUGAACACCUUUAAGUCAUAAUUCAAGCUAGAAGUGAUGCACACAUCCAUCACCUUGUUAUCAACCCAUAGUAAAGGCCCAUGGCCCCCAAAGGCAUGUGUCAUAGGUGUAGCUCUCAUUGUGGACAAGCUACAUAGGCAUCUUUGGAGCUCAAUUCCCAUCGAGUGAUGGGUAGAUCCUUUAUAGAUGACUUAAAUAUGUGACGGGGUAUUUAAGUGGGAGAGUGGCCUUGCUACCAUGAUCUAUUGAGAUUUA
RNAcentral lists this ribosomal RNA (2797 nucleotides) under Durio zibethinus. RNAcentral's name for it is "eukaryotic LSU rRNA". The stretch from base 666 to 2797 matches the Rfam family "Eukaryotic large subunit ribosomal RNA". Lineage: Eukaryota; Viridiplantae; Streptophyta; Magnoliopsida; Malvales; Malvaceae. The record is from RNAcentral.